Molecule: unclassified non-coding RNA, 1275 nt
Filed under: uncultured fungus
Lineage: Eukaryota; Fungi
Description: sequence contains 18S rRNA gene, ITS1, 5.8S rRNA gene, ITS2, 28S rRNA gene
Source: RNAcentral
ACCUCAAGCUCGACACCGGCAUGGGCCGAAUCGGGGUGGUGCCCGCUGAGCUGGGCGGCAUGCUCGAGGCGCUCCGCGGUGCGCACAAGCACCUGCGGCUCGAGGGCUUCUGCUCGCAGCUGGCGAGUGCCGACCUCGAGGGCGCGCCGCUGACGCAGGUUCAGGUUGCCGCCUUCAGAGCCGCUCUGGCGCAGGUGCGCGCGGCGGGCUUCGAGCCGAAGUGGAGACACCUGGGCAACUCGGCCGGCGCGCUCAGCCUGAGCGAGGUGCGUGAUGGCGCUGAAGUGAACAUGGUUCGACCGGGCCUGAUGCUCUACGGCCUGUUCACGGCGCCCUGGCUCGAGCGCGCGAAGGCUCCGCUGCGGCGGGUGAUGGCGUGGAAGACGGGCAUCACCCACCUGAAGACCGUCGAGCCGGGCACGCCGGUUUCGUACGGCAGCACGUGGGUCGCGGCGCGGCGCUCGCUGAUUGCCACGCUGCCGAUCGGUUAUGCCGACGGCUACAGCCGCUCAGGCUCGAAUCGCGCGCAGGCGCUGGUUCGCGGGCAUCGCGCACCGAUCGCCGGCCGCAUCACGAUGGACAUGUGCCUGCUCGACGUCACCGAUGUGCCGGGCGUGAGCGUCGGCGACGAAGUCGUCUUGCUGGGUGCGCAGGGUGGGCAGCGCAUCGACGCCGAAGAGCUCGCCGCGCUCAACGACUCGAUUCACUACGAGGUGCUGUGCGGCGUCGGCGCGCGCGUACCGCGCCUGCUGGUCGACUGACGACUGAAGCCGCCGCUCCAUGCGCGAAUUCUUCAGUGAAGUCGGGUGGGUUUAAAGAGUCGGGCUCAAUGUGGGCGCUGGCAAGCAACUCAUGACGCGUCGAGUCGACAAUCUCCGCAACGGCCGAACCACACGCGCACGGAGAAAACCAUGACCGCAACCUCAGCAGUUGGCAGCACGACCCAGACCAGCACCGCUCGCAAGACCGACCUGCUCAAAGUGAAGCUCACCGAGAACGACCCGUCGCUCAAGGCGGUGGCGACUGCGUUCGGUUUCAAGAUCACGGGCGCCGCGAGCAACCACGGCAUCGUGCCAUCGUUCAUGAAGCUGUCAUUCGACGGGCAAGAUGUCUCGCUGCAGCUGAGCCGGGGCGACACCGGCCUCAACGUGCUGGCGAAGCUGAAGAAGAAGCUGCCCAAGGGCUACGAGGCGCGGCUGAUCGAGAACCGCAAGAGCGCGCCGCCGCAGGUGACCAUCGGCAUCGCGAAGAAGGGCGCCACCAAGAUCGACGCGG